This 382-nucleotide ribosomal RNA is filed under the name uncultured bacterium. RNAcentral describes it as "bacterial SSU rRNA". It matches the Rfam family "Bacterial small subunit ribosomal RNA", at positions 28 to 414 of the family's 1533-position model. The record is from RNAcentral.
GACGAACGCUGGCGGCGUGCUUAACACAUGCAAGUCGAGCGGAAAGGCCCUUUCGGGGGUACUCGAGCGGCGAACGGGUGAGUAACACGUGAGUAAUCUGCCCUUGGCUUUGGGAUAACCACCGGAAACGGUGGCUAAUACCGGAUAUGACGGGCUCCGGCAUCGGGGUUCGUGGAAAGUUUUUCGGCCAGGGAUGUGCUCGCGGCCUAUCAGCUUGUUGGUGGGGUAAUGGCCUACCAAGGCUUCGACGGGUAGCCGGCCUGAGAGGGUGACCGGCCACACUGGGACUGAGACACGGCCCAGACUCCUACGGAGGCAGCAGUGGGGAAUAUUGGACAAUGGGCGGAAGCCUGAUCCAGCAACGCCGCGUGAGGGAUGACGG